This 497-nucleotide ribosomal RNA is filed under the name uncultured bacterium. Its description in RNAcentral is "partial 16S ribosomal RNA". It matches the Rfam family "Bacterial small subunit ribosomal RNA", at positions 28 to 507 of the family's 1533-position model. The record is from RNAcentral.
GAUGAACGCUGGCGGCGUGCCUAAUACAUGCAAGUCGAGCGAACGGACGAGAAGCUUGCUUCUCUGAUGUUAGCGGCGGACGGGUGAGUAACACGUGGAUAACCUACCUAUAAGACUGGGAUAACUUCGGGAAACCGGAGCUAAUACCGGAUAAUAUUUUGAACCGCAUGGUUCAAAAGUAAAAGACGGUCUUGCUGUCACUUAUAGAUGGAUCCGCGCUGCAUUAGCUAGUUGGUAAGGUAACGGCUUACCAAGGCAACGAUGCAUAGCCGACCUGUGAGGAUGAUCUGUCACACGACAAUAGAGCUACUGUUAAUAGCCCUAAGGGAGGUAGCAGAUAGGAAUCUGGCUCGACGCGCGACAGCCUGUCUGUGCACCUGCGUGCGAGUGAUGAAGGCCUUCUGAUCGUAAGUCCCUGUUAUUCGGCUGAAUGUUAUGCGGAAGUAUUUGUCUAUAUCCGUACGGAAGCUAAUCAGAAAGCUACGGCUGACUACGUG